CAAUAGCGUAUAUUAAAGCUGUUGCGGUUAAAAAGCUCGUAGUUGGAUUUCUGUCAAGGACAACUGGUCCGCCCUCCGGGUGAGCACAUAGUUUGGUCUUGGCAUCUUGCUGGAAGCUGUUGCUGCACUUGGCUGUGUGGCGCAGCGUCCAGCACUUUCACUUUGAGGAAAUUGGAGUGUUUCAAGCAGGCACAUGCCUUUGGACACAGUAGCAUGGAAUAAUUAGAUUGGGCUUUUGCUCCAACUUGUUGGUUCCUGGAGCUGAGGUGAGAAUCAAUGGGGAUUGUUGGGGGCAUCCGAAUUUAGCCGUCAGAGGUGAAAUUCUUGGAUCUGCUAAAGACGGACAACUGCGAAAGCGUUUGCCCAGGAUGUUUUCAUUGA
Molecule: ribosomal RNA, 381 nt
Filed under: uncultured eukaryote
Lineage: Eukaryota
Description: partial 18S ribosomal RNA
Rfam family: Eukaryotic small subunit ribosomal RNA
Source: RNAcentral